Molecule: ribosomal RNA, 480 nt
Filed under: uncultured bacterium
Lineage: Bacteria
Description: partial 16S ribosomal RNA
Rfam family: Bacterial small subunit ribosomal RNA
Source: RNAcentral
GAUGAACGCUGGCGGCGUGCUUAACACAUGCAAGUCGAACGAAGCACUUUAUUUGAUUUCCUUCGGGACUGAUUAUUUUGUGACUGAGUGGCGGACGGGUGAGUAACGCGUGGGUAACCUGCCUUGUACAGGGGGAUAACAGUUGGAAACGGCUGCUAAUACCGCAUAAGCGCACAGCAUCGCAUGAUGCAGUGUGAAAAACUCCGGUGGUAUAAGAUGGACCGCGUUGGAUUAGCUAGUUGGUGAGGUAACGGCCCACCAAGGCGACGAUCCAUAGCCGACCUGAGAGGGUGACCGGCCACAUUGGGACUGAGACACGGCCCAAACUCCUACGGGAGGCAGCAGUGGGGAAUAUUGCACAAUGGGCGAAAGCCUGAUGCAGCGACGCCGCGUGAGCGAAGAAGUAUUUCGGUAUGUAAAGCUCUAUCAGCAGGGAAGAUAAUGACGGUACCUGACUAAGAAGCACCGGCUAAAUACGUG